GCGAAUUCACUCCAAAAAUCUCCUUAUUCUGUGUAUUUCUACUUUUUGUGAUAGAGACACUUUUGUUUGUGGAAUUUAUGAACUUUGGUGUAAUGCCGAGACGUAGUGCUUUCGGUUGUGCGCUCCGUGAGAUUCCAAUGCAUAGUUUCCCAGAUGCUGUCAAAUUCCUGAGCACCCUUAAACAUCUGAUCUUGGAUGUUAUAAGAAGAAGAGAAUUUGUGAUAUACACUUUUCUGACAGACACAGAAAUCAUAAUCAAUGGCUAAGCACAUUGGCAGUUCCGAUGCUUCAUCUGCUUGAGCCAUAUGUGAGCAACUUUAUUUUAGAAAAAGCAUCAACUUCAACAACAUUCCAACCUGUGGCUGCAGAUGCAUCUCAAGGUGCUUGAUGCUGGAACAUAAUUAUAGUUUUAUUAGCAAGCCUAAAAGAACAGCUGGAAAAGAUCUAAUGGCUCCACAGCGCACAAAGAUCAAGCAUCUUCAAGCAGAAAUAUCGCGAUUGCGAAAAAAAGGACAAUCUUUCAAAGCAAGGUUAAAAGGUGGUGCAGAUCGAUCAAUCGAAUUUUGUCAGGAAUAUUAACAUAUGUGGGUGAAGACGAAACAAAAACAGCUGUCCAACAAUAUUAUGAUAAACAUAAACAUUAUAAAAAUAAAAAAUAAUAUGCAAAAA
Molecule: long non-coding RNA, 669 nt
Organism: Leptidea sinapis
Lineage: Eukaryota; Metazoa; Arthropoda; Insecta; Lepidoptera; Pieridae
Exons: 5
Source: RefSeq, a predicted model, not a curated record